GAUGAACGCUGGCGGCGUGCCUAAUACAUGCAAGUCGAGCGAACGGACGAGAAGCUUUCUUCUCUGAUGUUAGCGGCGGACGGGUGAGUAACACGUGGAUAACCUACCUAUAAGACUGGGAUAACUUCGGGAAACCGUAGCUAAUACCGGCUAAUAUUUUGAACCGCAUGGUUCAAAAGUGAAAGACGGUCUUGCUGUCACUUAUAGACGGAUCCGCGCUGCAUUAGCUAGUUGGUAAGGUAACGGCCUACCAAGGCAACGAUGCAUAGCCGACCUGAGAGGGUGAUCGGCCACACUGGAACUGAGACACGGUCCAGACUCCUACGGGAGGCAGCAGUAGGGAAUCUUCCGCAAUGGGCGAAAGCCUGACGGAGCAACGCCGCGUGAGUGAUGAAGGUCUUCGGAUCGUAAAACUCUGUUAUUAGGGAAGAACAUAUGUGUAAGUAACUGUGCACAUCUUGACGGUACCUAAUCAGAAAGCAACGGCUAACUACGUG
RNAcentral lists this ribosomal RNA (497 nucleotides) under uncultured bacterium. RNAcentral's name for it is "partial 16S ribosomal RNA". It matches the Rfam family "Bacterial small subunit ribosomal RNA", at positions 28 to 507 of the family's 1533-position model. The record is from RNAcentral.